GAUGAACGCUGGCGGCGUGCCUAAUACAUGCAAGUCGAGCGAACGGACGAGAAGCUUGCUUCUCUGAUGUUAGCGGCGGACGGGUGAGUAACACGUGGAUAACCUACCUAUAAGACUGGGAUAACUUCGGGAAACCGGAGCUAAUACCGGAUAAUAUUUUGAACCGCAUGGUUCAAUAGUGAAAGACGGUCUUGCUGCCACUUAUAGAUGGAUCCGCGCUGCAUUAGCUAGUUGGUAAGGUAACGGCUUACCAAGGCAACGAUGCAUAGCCGACCUGAGAGGGUGAUCGGCCACACUGGAACUGAGACACGGUCCAGACUCCUACGGGAGGCAGCAGUAGGGAAUCUUCCGCAAUGGGCGAAAGCCUGACGGAGCAACGCCGCGUGAGUGAUGAAGGUCUUCGGAUCGUAAAACUCUGUUAUUAGGGAAGAACAUAUGUGUAAGUAACUGUGCACAUCUUGACGGUACCUAAUCAGAAAGCCACGGCUAACUACGUG
This 497-nucleotide ribosomal RNA is filed under the name uncultured bacterium. RNAcentral describes it as "partial 16S ribosomal RNA". It matches the Rfam family "Bacterial small subunit ribosomal RNA", at positions 28 to 507 of the family's 1533-position model. The record is from RNAcentral.